AUAGGGGAGCCGGAGGGAAACCGAGUCUUAAUUGGGCGUUAAGUUGCAGGGUAUAGACCCGAAACCCGGUGAUCUAGCCAUGGGCAGGUUGAAGGUUGGGUAACACUAACUGGAGGACCGAACCGACUAAUGUUGAAAAAUUAGCGGAUGACCUGUGGCUGGGGGUGAAAGGCCAAUCAAACCGGGAGAUAGCUGGUUCUCCCCGAAAGCUAUUUAGGUAGCGCCUCGUGAAUUCAUCUCCGGGGGUAGAGCACUGUUUCGGCUAGGGGGCCAUCCCGGCUUACCAACCCGAUGCAAACUGCGAAUACCGGAGAAUGUUAUCACGGGAGACACACGGCGGGUGCUAACGUCCGUCGUGAAGAGGGAAACAACCCAGACCGCCAGCUAAGGUCCCAAAGUCAUGGUUAAGUGGGAAACGAUGUGGGAAGGCCCAGACAGCCAGGAUGUUGGCUUAGAAGCAGCCAUCAUUUAAAGAAAGCGUAAUAGCUCACUGGUCGAGUCGGCCUGCGCGGAAGAUGUAACGGGGCUAAACCAUGCACCGAAGCUGCGGCAGCGACACUGUGUGUUGUUGGGUAGGGGAGCGUUCUGUAAGCCUGUGAAGGUGGCCUGUGAGGGUUGCUGGAGGUAUCAGAAGUGCGAAUGCUGACAUAAGUAACGAUAAAGCGGGUGAAAAGCCCGCUCGCCGGAAGACCAAGGGUUCCUGUCCAACGUUAAUCGGGGCAGGGUGAGUCGACCCCUAAGGCGAGGCCGAAAGGCGUAGUCGAUGGGAAACGGGUUAAUAUUCCCGUACUUGGUGUUACUGCGAAGGGGGGACGGAGAAGGCUAUGUUGGCCGGGCGACGGUUGUCCCGGUUUAAGCGUGUAGGUGUGUGUUCCAGGUAAAUCCGGUUCACUUUAACACUGAGGCGUGACGACGAGGCACUACGGUGCUGAAGCAACAAAUGCCCUGCUUCCAGGAAAAGCCUCUAAGCAUCAGGUAACAUCAAAUCGUACCCCAAACCGACACAGGUGGUCAGGUAGAGAAUACCAAGGCGCUUGAGAGAACUCGGGUGAAGGAACUAGGCAAAAUGGUGCCGUAACUUCGGGAGAAGGCACGCUGACACGUAGGUGAAGUGAUUUACUCACGGAGCUGAAGUCAGUCGAAGAUACCAGCUGGCUGCAACUGUUUAUUAAAAACACAGCACUGUGCAAACACGAAAGUGGACGUAUACGGUGUGACGCCUGCCCGGUGCCGGAAGGUUAAUUGAUGGGGUCAGCGCAAGCGAAGCUCCUGAUCGAAGCCCCGGUAAACGGCGGCCGUAACUAUAACGGUCCUAAGGUAGCGAAAUUCCUUGUCGGGUAAGUUCCGACCUGCACGAAUGGCGUAAUGAUGGCCAGGCUGUCUCCACCCGAGACUCAGUGAAAUUGAACUCGCUGUGAAGAUGCAGUGUACCCGCGGCAAGACGGAAAGACCCCGUGAACCUUUACUAUAGCUUGACACUGAACAUUGAGCCUUGAUGUGUAGGAUAGGUGGGAGGCUUUGAAGCGUGGACGCCAGUCUGCGUGGAGCCGACCUUGAAAUACCACCCUUUAAUGUUUGAUGUUCUAACGUGGACCCGUGAUCCGGGUUGCGGACAGUGUCUGGUGGGUAGUUUGACUGGGGCGGUCUCCUCCUAAAGAGUAACGGAGGAGCACGAAGGUUGGCUAAUCCUGGUCGGACAUCAGGAGGUUAGUGCAAUGGCAUAAGCCAGCUUGACUGCGAGCGUGACGGCGCGAGCAGGUGCGAAAGCAGGUCAUAGUGAUCCGGUGGUUCUGAAUGGAAGGGCCAUCGCUCAACGGAUAAAAGGUACUCCGGGGAUAACAGGCUGAUACCGCCCAAGAGUUCAUAUCGACGGCGGUGUUUGGCACCUCGAUGUCGGCUCAUCACAUCCUGGGGCUGAAGUAGGUCCCAAGGGUAUGGCUGUUCGCCAUUUAAAGUGGUACGCGAGCUGGGUUUAGAACGUCGUGAGACAGUUCGGUCCCUAUCUGCCGUGGGCGCUGGAGAACUGAGGGGGGCUGCUCCUAGUACGAGAGGACCGGAGUGGACGCAUCACUGGUGUUCGGGUUGUCAUGCCAAUGGCACUGCCCGGUAGCUAAAUGCGGAAGAGAUAAGUGCUGAAAGCAUCUAAGCACGAAACUUGCCCCGAGAUGAGUUCUCCCUGAGACUUAGAGUCUCCUGAAGGAACGUUGAAGACGACGACGUUGAUAGGCCGGGUGUGUAAGCGCAGCGAUGCGUUGAGCUAACCGGUACUAAUGAACCGUGAGGCUUAACCUUACAACGCCGAAG
This 2304-nucleotide ribosomal RNA is filed under the name Salmonella enterica. RNAcentral's name for it is "bacterial LSU rRNA". It matches the Rfam family "Bacterial large subunit ribosomal RNA", at positions 657 to 2925 of the family's 2925-position model. Lineage: Bacteria; Pseudomonadati; Pseudomonadota; Gammaproteobacteria; Enterobacterales; Enterobacteriaceae. RNAcentral also lists the same sequence under 1 other name. The record is from RNAcentral.